RNAcentral lists this ribosomal RNA (1022 nucleotides) under Salmonella enterica subsp. enterica serovar Anatum. RNAcentral's name for it is "bacterial SSU rRNA". It matches the Rfam family "Bacterial small subunit ribosomal RNA", at positions 1 to 1012 of the family's 1533-position model. The record is from RNAcentral. Lineage: Bacteria; Pseudomonadati; Pseudomonadota; Gammaproteobacteria; Enterobacterales; Enterobacteriaceae.
AAAUUGAAGAGUUUGAUCAUGGCUCAGAUUGAACGCUGGCGGCAGGCCUAACACAUGCAAGUCGAACGGUAACAGGAAGCAGCUUGCUGCUUCGCUGACGAGUGGCGGACGGGUGAGUAAUGUCUGGGAAGCUGCCUGAUGGAGGGGGAUAACUACUGGAAACGGUGGCUAAUACCGCAUAACGUCGCAAGACCAAAGAGGGGGACCUUCGGGCCUCUUGCCAUCAGAUGUGCCCAGAUGGGAUUAGCUAGUUGGUGAGGUAACGGCUCACCAAGGCGACGAUCCCUAGCUGGUCUGAGAGGAUGACCAGCCACACUGGAACUGAGACACGGUCCAGACUCCUACGGGAGGCAGCAGUGGGGAAUAUUGCACAAUGGGCGCAAGCCUGAUGCAGCCAUGCCGCGUGUAUGAAGAAGGCCUUAGGGUUGUAAAGUACUUUCAGCGGGGAGGAAGGUGUUGUGGUUAAUAACCGCAGCAAUUGACGUUACCCGCAGAAGAAGCACCGGCUAACUCCGUGCCAGCAGCCGCGGUAAUACGGAGGGUGCAAGCGUUAAUCGGAAUUACUGGGCGUAAAGCGCACGCAGGCGGUCUGUCAAGUCGGAUGUGAAAUCCCCGGGCUCAACCUGGGAACUGCAUUCGAAACUGGCAGGCUUGAGUCUUGUAGAGGGGGGUAGAAUUCCAGGUGUAGCGGUGAAAUGCGUAGAGAUCUGGAGGAAUACCGGUGGCGAAGGCGGCCCCCUAGACAAAGACUGACGCUCAGGUGCGAAAGCGUGGGGAGCAAACAGGAUUAGAUACCCUGGUAGUCCACGCCGUAAACGAUGUCUACUUGGAGGUUGUGCCCUUGAGGCGUGGCUUCCGGAGCUAACGCGUUAAGUAGACCGCCUGGGGAGUACGGCCGCAAGGUUAAAACUCAAAUGAAUUGACGGGGGCCCGCACAAGCGGUGGAGCAUGUGGUUUAAUUCGAUGCAACGCGAAGAACCUUACCUGGUCUUGACAUCCACAGAAGAAUCCAGAGAUGGAUU